UUUAUGGAGAGUUUGAUCCUGGCUCAGGAUGAACGCUGGCGGCGUGCCUAAUACAUGCAAGUCGAGCGAACAGAUAAGGAGCUUGCUCCUUUGACGUUAGCGGCGGACGGGUGAGUAACACGUGGGUAACCUACCUAUAAGACUGGAAUAACUCCGGGAAACCGGGGCUAAUGCCGGAUAACAUGUUGAACCGCAUGGUUCUACAGUGAAAGACGGUCUUGCUGUCACUUAUAGAUGGACCCGCGCCGUAUUAGCUAGUUGGUGGGGUAACGGCCUACCAAGGCGACGAUACGUAGCCGACCUGAGAGGGUGAUCGGCCACACUGGAACUGAGACACGGUCCAGACUCCUACGGGAGGCAGCAGUAGGGAAUCUUCCGCAAUGGGCGAAAGCCUGACGGAGCAACGCCGCGUGAGUGAUGAAGGUCUUCGGAUCGUAAAGCUCUGUUGUUAGGGAAGAACAAAUGUGUAAGUAACUGUGCACAUCUUGACGGUACCUAACCAGAAAGCCACGGCUAACUACGUGCCAGCAGCCGCGGUAAUACGUAGGUGGCAAGCGUUAUCCGGAAUUAUUGGGCGUAAAGCGCGCGUAGGCGGUUUUUUAAGUCUGAUGUGAAAGCCCACGGCUCAACCGUGGAGGGUCAUUGGAAACUGGAAAACUUGAGUGCAGAAGAGGAAAGUGGAAUUCCAUGUGUAGCGGUGAAAUGCGCAGAGAUAUGGAGGAACACCAGUGGCGAAGGCGGCUUUCUGGUCUGCAACUGACGCUGAUGUGCGAAAGCGUGGGGAUCAAACAGGAUUAGAUACCCUGGUAGUCCACGCCGUAAACGAUGAGUGCUAAGUGUUAGG
RNAcentral lists this ribosomal RNA (844 nucleotides) under Staphylococcus pseudintermedius. RNAcentral describes it as "bacterial SSU rRNA". It matches the Rfam family "Bacterial small subunit ribosomal RNA", at positions 1 to 827 of the family's 1533-position model. Lineage: Bacteria; Bacillati; Bacillota; Bacilli; Caryophanales; Staphylococcaceae. The record is from RNAcentral.